CAGCCGCCGCGGUAAUACGUAGGGUGCGAGCGUUACUCGGAUUUACUGGGCGUAAAGCGUGCGCAGGCGGCCCGUUAAGACAGGUGUGAAAUCCCUGGGCUCAACCUAGGAAUUGCGCUUGUGACUGGCGGGCUCGAGUACGGUAGAGGGGGGUGGAAUUCCUGGUGUAGCAGUGAAAUGCGUAGAGAUCAGGAGGAACACCGAUGGCGAAGGCAGCCCCCUGGGCCUGUACUGACGCUCAUGCACGAAAGCGUGGGGAGCAAACAGGAUUAGAUACCCUGGUAGUCCACGCCCUAAACGAUGGGUACUAGCCGUUUGGUGCGCGAUAGCGCUGAGUGGCGAAGCUAACGCGUGAAGUACCCCGCCUGGGGAGUACGGCCGCAAGGUUGAAACUUAAAGUAAUUGGCGGG
RNAcentral lists this ribosomal RNA (410 nucleotides) under uncultured microorganism. Its description in RNAcentral is "bacterial SSU rRNA". It matches the Rfam family "Bacterial small subunit ribosomal RNA", at positions 509 to 917 of the family's 1533-position model. The record is from RNAcentral.